Molecule: ribosomal RNA, 690 nt
Filed under: uncultured Enterobacterales bacterium
Lineage: Bacteria; Pseudomonadati; Pseudomonadota; Gammaproteobacteria; Enterobacterales
Description: bacterial SSU rRNA
Rfam family: Bacterial small subunit ribosomal RNA
Source: RNAcentral
GCGGCGGACGGGUGAGUAAUGUCUGGGAAACUGCCUGAUGGAGGGGGAUAACUACUGGAAACGGUAGCUAAUACCGCAUAACGUCGCAAGACCAAAGAGGGGGACCUUCGGGCCUCUUGCCAUCAGAUGUGCCCAGAUGGGAUUAGCUAGUAGGUGGGGUAAUGGCUCACCUAGGCGACGAUCCCUAGCUGGUCUGAGAGGAUGACCAGCCACACUGGAACUGAGACACGGUCCAGACUCCUACGGGAGGCAGCAGUGGGGAAUAUUGCACAAUGGGCGCAAGCCUGAUGCAGCCAUGCCGCGUGUGUGAAGAAGGCCUUCGGGUUGUAAAGCACUUUCAGCGAGGAGGAAGGUGGUGAACUUAAUACGUUCAUCAAUUGACGUUACUCGCAGAAGAAGCACCGGCUAACUCCGUGCCAGCAGCCGCGGUAAUACGGAGGGUGCAAGCGUUAAUCGGAAUUACUGGGCGUAAAGCGCACGCAGGCGGUUUGUUAAGUCAGAUGUGAAAUCCCCGGGCUCAACCUGGGAACUGCAUUUGAAACUGGCAAGCUAGAGUCUCGUAGAGGGGGGUAGAAUUCCAGGUGUAGCGGUGGAAUGCGUAGAGAUCUGGAGGAAUACCGGUGGCGAAGGCGGCCCCCUGGACGAAGACUGACGCUCAGGUGCGAAAGCGUGGGGAGCAAACAGGAUUAG